CCUGGCUCAGGAUGAACGCUGGCGGCGUGCCUAAUACAUGCAAGUCGAACGCUGGAGAUCUAGCUUGCUAGAUCGAAGGAGUGGCGAACGGGUGAGUAAUACAUAAGCAACCUACCCACGAAGACUGGGAUAAUCUCUGGAAACGGGGACUAAUACCGGAUAGGUAAUCGGAAGGCAUCUUCUGGUUAUUAAAGGUUAAAAACACUGGUGGAUGGGCUUAUGGCGCAUUAGUUAGUUGGUGAGGUAACGGCCCACCAAGACGAUGAUGCGUAGCCGGCCUGAGAGGGUGAACGGCCACAUUGGGACUGAGACACGGCCCAGACUCCUACGGGAGGCAGCAGUAGGGAAUUUUCGGCAAUAGGGGCAACCCUGACCGAGCAACGCCGCGUGAGUGAAGACGGCCUUCGGGUUGUAAAGCUCUGUUGUAAGGGAAGAACGGUAGAUAGAGAAUAUCUAAGUGACGGUACCUUACCAGAAAGCCACGGCUAACUACGUGCCAGCAGCCGCGGUAAUACGUAGGUGGCGAGCGUUAUCCGGAAUUAUUGGGCGUAAAGGGUGCGUAGGCGGCCUGUUAAGUAAGUGGUUAAAUUGUUGGGCUCAACCCAAUCCAGCCACUUAAACUGGCAGGCUAGAGUAUUGGAGAGGCAAGUGGAAUUCCAUGUGUAGCGGUAAAAUGCGUAGAUAUAUGGAGGAACACCAGUGGCGAAGGCGGCUUGCUAGCCAAAGACUGACGCUCAUGCACGAAAGCGUGGGGAGCAAAUAGGAUUAGAUACCCUAGUAGUCCACGCCGUAAACGAUGAAUACUAAGUAUUGGGGAAACUCAGUGCUGCAGCUAACGCAAUAAGUAUUC
This 850-nucleotide ribosomal RNA is filed under the name Solobacterium moorei. Its description in RNAcentral is "bacterial SSU rRNA". It matches the Rfam family "Bacterial small subunit ribosomal RNA", at positions 18 to 869 of the family's 1533-position model. Lineage: Bacteria; Bacillati; Bacillota; Erysipelotrichia; Erysipelotrichales; Erysipelotrichaceae. The record is from RNAcentral.